Molecule: ribosomal RNA, 496 nt
Filed under: uncultured bacterium
Lineage: Bacteria
Description: partial 16S ribosomal RNA
Rfam family: Bacterial small subunit ribosomal RNA
Source: RNAcentral
AUUGAACGCUGGCGGCGCGCCUAACACAUGCAAGUCGCACGCGAAAGGGGGCAACCCCAAGUAGAGUGGCGGACGGGUGAGUAACGCGUAGGAAUCUACCUAGUAGUGGGGGACAACCCGGCGAAAGCCGGGCUAAUACCGCAUACGACCUAAGGGUGAAAGCAGGGGAUCGCAAGACCUUGCGCUCUUAGAUGAGCCUGCGUCCGAUUAGCUAGUUGGUGAGGUAACGGCUCACCAAGGCGACGAUCGGUAACUGGUUUGAGAGAACGACCAGUCACAUUGGGACUGAGACACGGCCCAAACUCCUACGGGAGGCAGCAGUGGGGAAUAUUGGACAAUGGGGGCAACCCUGAUCCAGCGACGCCGCGUGUGUGAAGAAGGCCUUCGGGUUGUAAAGCACUUUCGGCAGGGACAAACAAGACGGAGCUAACAUCUCCGUUCCUGAUGGUACCUGAAGAAGAAGCACCGGCUAACUCUGUGCCAGCAGCCGCGGUAA